RNAcentral lists this microRNA (23 nucleotides) under Caenorhabditis briggsae. RNAcentral's name for it is "cbr-miR-60". Its record names the gene cbr-miR-60. The record is from miRBase by way of RNAcentral. Lineage: Eukaryota; Metazoa; Nematoda; Chromadorea; Rhabditida; Rhabditidae. RNAcentral also lists the same sequence under 1 other name.
UAUUAUGCACAUUUUCUAGUCCA